UAGGCCUAACACAUGCAAGUCGAACGGCAGCACAGAGGACUUGCUCCUUGGGUGGCGAGUGGGGGACGGGUGAGGAAUACAUCGGAAUCUACUCUGUCGUGGGGGAUAACGUAGGGAAACUUACGCUAAUACCGCCCACCACCUACGGGUGAAAGCUGGGGAUCUUCUGACCUUGCGCGAUUGAAUGAGCCGAUUUCGGAUUAUCUAGUUGGCGGGGUAAAGGCCCACCAAGGCGACGAUCCGUAUCUGGUCUGAGAGGAUGAUCAGCCACACUGGAACUGAGACACGGUCCAUACUCCUACGGGAGGCAGCAGCAAGGAAUAUUGGACAAUGGGCGCAAUCCUGAUCCACCCAUACCGCGUGGGUGAAGAAGGCCUUCGGGUUGUAAAGCCCUUUUGUUGGGAAAGAAAUCCUUCUGGUUAAUACCCGGGUGGGAUGACGGUACCCAAAGAAUAAGCACCGGCUAACUUCGUGCCCGCAGCCGCGGUAAUGCUAAGGGUGCAAGCGUUACUCGGAAUUACUGGGCGUAAAGCGUGCGUAGGUGGUCGUUUAAUUCCGUUGUGAAAACCCUGGGCUCAACCUGGGAACUGCACUGGAUACUGGGCGACUAGAAUGUGGUAGAGGGUAGCGGAAUUCCUGGUGUAACAGUGAAAUGCGUAGAGAUCAGGAGGAACAUCCAUGGCGAAGGCAGCUACCUGGACCAACAUUGACACUGAGGCACGAAGGCGUGAAGAGCAAACAGGAUUAGAUACCCUGGUACUCCACGCCCUAAACAAUGCGAACUGGAUGUUGGGUGCAAUUUGGCACGCAGCUAUCGAAGCUAACGCGUUAAGUUCGCCGCCUGGGGGAGUACGGUCGCAAGACUGAAACUCGAAGGAAUUGACGCGCGGCCCGCACAUGCUGUGGAGUAUGUGGUUUGAAUCGCAUGCAACGCUGACGAACUCUU
RNAcentral lists this ribosomal RNA (946 nucleotides) under Stenotrophomonas maltophilia. RNAcentral's name for it is "bacterial SSU rRNA". It matches the Rfam family "Bacterial small subunit ribosomal RNA", at positions 43 to 973 of the family's 1533-position model. Lineage: Bacteria; Pseudomonadati; Pseudomonadota; Gammaproteobacteria; Lysobacterales; Lysobacteraceae. The record is from RNAcentral.